RNAcentral lists this ribosomal RNA (536 nucleotides) under Graphium penicillioides. RNAcentral's name for it is "LSU rRNA". It matches the Rfam family "Eukaryotic large subunit ribosomal RNA", at positions 44 to 591 of the family's 3401-position model. Lineage: Eukaryota; Fungi; Ascomycota; Sordariomycetes; Microascales; Graphiaceae. The record is from RNAcentral.
CAAUAAGCGGAGGAAAAGAAACCAACAGGGAUUGCCCCAGUAACGGCGAGUGAAGCGGCAACAGCUCAAAUUUGAAAUCUGGCCCCCCGGGUCCGAGUUGUAAUUUGCAGAGGAUGCUCUUGGCGAGGCACCGUCCGAGUUCCCUGGAACGGGACGCCAUAGAGGGUGAGAGCCCCGUAUGGACGACUGCCGAGCCGCUGUAGAGCUCCUUCGACGAGUCGAGUAGUUUGGGAAUGCUGCUCUAAACGGGAGGUAAAUCUCUUCUAAAGCUAAAUACUGGCCACAGACCGAUAGCGCACAAGUAGAGUGAUCGAAAGAUGAAAAGCACUUUGAAAAGAGAGUUAAACAGCACGUGAAAUUGUUGAAAGGGAAGCGCUCAUGACCAGACUUGCGCCUGGCGGAUCAUCCGGCGUUCUCGCCGGUGCACUCCGCCUGGCACAGGCCAGCAUCGGUUCGCUGUCGGGGAGAAAGGCGGGGGGAAUGUGGCUCUUCGGAGUGUUAUAGCCCCCCGUGUAAUACCCUUCGGCGGACCGAGG